AGGGUUUGAUCCUGGCUCAGAUUGAACGCUGGCGGCAGGCUUAACACAUGCAAGUCGAGCGGUAACAGAUCUAGCUUGCUAGAUGCUGACGAGCGGCGGACGGGUGAGUAACGCGUAGGAACCUGCCCAGUAGUGGGGGAUAGCCCGGUGAAAACCGGAUUAAUACCGCAUAAGCUCUACGGAGGAAAGGGGGCUUCGGCUCUCGCUAUUGGAUGGGCCUGCGUGAGAUUAGCUAGUUGGUGAGGUAAUGGCUCACCAAGGCGACGAUCUCUAGCUGGUCUGAGAGGAUGAUCAGCCACACUGGGACUGAGACACGGCCCGGACUCCUACGGGAGGCAGCAGUGGGGAAUAUUGCACAAUGGGCGCAAGCCUGAUGCAGCCAUGCCGCGUGUGUGAAGAAGGCUUUCGGGUUGUAAAGCACUUUCAGUAGGGAGGAAGGCCUCGUAGUUAAUACCUGCGAGGAUUGACGUUACCUACAGAAGAAGCACCGGCUAACUCAGUGCCAGCAGCCGCGGUAAUACUGAGGGUGCGAGCGUUAAUCGGAAUUACUGGGCGUAAAGCGCGCGUAGGCGGCUUACUAAGCCAGAUGUGAAAGCCCCGGGCUCAACCUGGGAACUGCAUUUGGAACUGGUUCGCUAAAGUACAGUAGAGGGUGGUGGAAUUUCCAGUGUAGCGGUGAAAUGCGUAGAGAUUGGAAGGAACAUCAGUGGCGAAAGCGGCCACCUGGACUGAUACUGACGCUGAGUGCGAAAGCGUGGGGAGCAACAGGAUUAGAUACCCUGGUAGUCCACGCCGUAAACGAUGUCUACUAGCCGUUGGGGAACUUGAUUCCUUAGUGGCGCAGCUAACGCACUAAGUAGACCGCCUGGGGAGUACGGCCGCAAGGUUAAACUCAAAUGAAUUGACGGGGUCCCGCACAGCGGUGGAGCAUGUGGUUUAAUUCGAUGCAACGCGAAGAACGUACUGUCUUGAAAUCUGCGACUUUCUUAAAGAUAGAUUGGUGCCUUCGAACGCCAUGACAGUGCUGCAUGGCCUGGUCGUCAGCUCUGUUGGAAUGGUGGAUAGGUCGUACCGACGCACCGUAUCCGAUUGCCAGCAUCGUUGAACCUAGUAACUGCGGUACACCGAGAAGUGAGUAGUAAGCUCAUAGCAUA
Molecule: ribosomal RNA, 1154 nt
Filed under: uncultured bacterium
Lineage: Bacteria
Description: bacterial SSU rRNA
Rfam family: Bacterial small subunit ribosomal RNA
Source: RNAcentral